UCGAGUUUUAUAAACUCGCUUUCGCUUUAACGCUUUUUGCCCUUCCCACUUAAAACAAUCUACAGAGACCCGUUCAAAAUCUCUCAAUCUCAGACACCGCUCUCUCAAACUCUCUCAAACUCUUCCCCUCACUGUGAAAAUUUCAAAAUCAACUCACUCUCAGACACUCCGCUCUCUCAAACUCGCCGUGCCGAAGGUGCUGCUCCCAUUGACAGUCAGCGACCGAAACUCAGUUUUGCUUCCAUUGACAGUCAGGCACUCAAAGUCAGUACUGCUCCCAUUGAACCACCGUGCGCCUAAGUAUGGAGCCUCGGAUUGAUGAGGAGCUAGAGGUCUUGGACCCCGGUCCGCGUCAGAGGUCAUUGUUGACAUGACAGCCAUAUCAUCGAUCAGAGGCCAUUUGGAAUGGCGAGGACUCGGGCCCACUUACGUGUCGUGGUCGCACUAAGGAGAUGAAAAACGUUCAGAUGGAAGAUAAUCGAAUCAUUGACAUUAUCAAAUUGCUAAGGCUAGAAGGAUUGUUUAGAGCCCCUUCAAGAGAGAUAGAUAAUUGCCUAAUAUCGGCCCUAGUUGAGCGAUGGCGGCCGGAGACUCAUACUUUCCAUCUUCCACAUGGUGAGAUGUCAAUCACCCUACAAGAUGUGGAGGUAAUUUUCAGACUUCCUAUAGACGGUGACGUCUUGGUUGGGCCGACUGCUGUGGUGGAUGAUGGGGGUUGGAGGCAACUGUGUACGGAGUUGCUUGGUUUUACUCCACCGAAUGACAAUAAAACUUUGGUGGGGCAAAGUAUUCUCAUCAGUCGACUUGUUGAGGCCGUUGCAACGCCAUUGCCUUAUGACGCAACGGAGAUGCAGAUACACCGGUAUGCCCGGUGCUAUAUUUUAGCGCUAAUAGGGGAUAAACUUUUCAUGGACAAGUCAAGAGAUAGGGUGCAUCUGAUGUUCCUGGACUUCAUGCGUAACCUUCGUGAUCCGCCACAGUAUAGUUGGGGUAGUGGUUCCCUGGCCUGGUUAUACAGGGAGUUGUGUCGGGCAAGCGAGAAAGGGGCAUCGCAGAUUGGUGGGGCGUGCACCUUGAUCCAGUAUUGGGCAUGGGCAAGGUUGCCAUUCUUGUGCCCGAGGAUAGAGCCCCCACCUGGAUGUGAUUAUGGCCCAUGGCCAUAUGCUCCACUUGCAUUUAAGUGGGUGCGGGUGCCAAGCCCGAAGAGUAGGCCAUCCGGCAUGGCCUUGGUUCACUAUCGCGAGCUAUUAGUUACAAUGCAGCCAGAGCAGAUUGUGUGGCAGCCAUACGAGGCACACUUCGGCCACCUUCCUGAGUUCUGUGUUGUAGGGAGGGAUACGUAGACAGCAAGGGUGCCGCUUGUGUGUUUUUGCAUAGUAGAGAGACACCACCCAGACCGUGUCCUUCGACAGUUUGGCUUGGCACAGGAGCGGCCUGACGAUGUUGUCUACAAUGAUAGGCUGCAUAAAAUCGACUUACGUGGGAAGGUGGAAAAGAAUUGGAGGGAGGAGCAUGGACCGUAUAUCAUUUCAUGGGAAAUGAGACGACAACAACUUUGUCAUGCACCUCCUCAGAUUGGUGAGAUGCCCCGCAAUCAUGCCUAUUACGUCUGGUACCGUCCGGUCACUCGAAAGUAUGUCGACCGCAACAGCGCUAAAUUAGAUAUAAUGAUUCAAAGCCAUUUAGCACUGUUGGCGAUGCUUCCUGAAGGCAGCCAAGCUCACAACCAUGUCCUGCGUGUCCUAAAUAAUGUGGCUGGCCUUGGUGGUGGUCCUGCAGUAAAUGAGCAUGCAAACAAUGGGGAUGAGACUGAACUAGCAGUUACUGCAACCCCAAGCACAAGUGCAGCACCCAUAAGUACACCGACCCGUGGUCAUCGUGCUACUACAAGCCCAAGCACAAGUGCAGCUAGGGGUUGUCUUCGGCCUGCUACAGCAACCCCAAGCACAAGUGCAGUCAGGGGCCGUGGUCGGCGUGCAACAACCCCUCGGGUUGUAACUAGUCUUGACAUGCCUCCACCCAUCCCGCAGGCAUCUCCUCAGCCCGAUGUCCCUUCACCCAGCCCACCUUCGCAGCCCAAUUUCGAUGUCAGUAUUGACCAAAAUGUGACCCCUCCUAUACUCCCCGAGACACCCUCAUACCCACACACCGGCUCUAGUGCACCCACUCCUGGCCUCUACAUAGAGCAGGAUUACCCACCUACCGCAUCCUCAUCUGACCCUCUAGGACCUCCGGUUGGGAUUCACAUUGUACAACCACAUACUGAUGUAUCGGAUGAGCAUCCCCCUCAUCAGCCCUCACCCCCACGAGGUAGACCGCAACGCACUAGAAGAGCACCCACUUGUGGGACAGGUGGACACAAAAUAGGACACCGAGGCAGCUCUAUGCAUGAUGAUGACCCUAAGGUUGAUGCCCCGCAGCCUCCUCCCCCGCCCAAACAUUACACGAGGGCUAAAAAACACAAAAUUGGUGAACCUUGAACAAAGUUAUAGACUGCCACAAAACUGAAAAAGAUUCUUCAAGAUUCAAAGGAAACUGUGGUGGAAUCUGAUGUAAGGGGUAAAAUGCAGCCACUGAAAGAGCAGCUGACAAAUACAAUGAAUCAUCUCGAUACCAUCUUUGAGACUCAUGUGAAUGGUGGGAAGGAGGAAGGGUUCAUUCAUGGGGAGUUUAUGCCUGUUGGGGCUGAUGGGAGGAUUGUGCUUUCCUUUAAUUUGCUUACUCUAACCCACAUGAUUGGGUUUAUGAUUGGUGGCUUCCAGAGGGAAUGGUGCAACUACUGUCUUUGCUUCAAUGUUCUUUGCUUCUAAGGUUGGCAUCCCUGUAUUCGUCACUGGGGGGAUUGGAGGAGUACAUAGACAUGGCGAGCACACGAUGGACAUAUCAUCUGAUCUUACCGAGCUUGGAAGGACCCCAGUAGCAGUUGUCUCUGCUGGUGUCAAAUCAAUAUUAGAUAUUCCCAGGACCCUGGAAUAUUUGGGAACACAGGGAGUUUGCGUUGCUGCCUACAAAACCAAUGAGUUUCCAGCAUUUUUUACGGAAACAAGUGGCUGCAAGAAGAAGAGAAUGGAGAAACCCAAUCUGGACGAAUUGUACCACGUAUUUACCAGUCGUGCAGUCAAAUUCAUCGACUACGGCAUGAUGGGUGAUGGUUCCAAGUCUGAAAGCUGGAAAGAAUUCAAGACAAGUUGUUUAGGGAAUUUCGCGAAGAAUUUGGUGAGGAAGAGCCUGGGCGAAGGUGUAAUGUUCCCUCCAAAUCAACUACUUCCUCUUUUUAUUGUAGGUUAAAGCUUAGUCAUUGCUUUUCUUAUUCUUUUUUAUUGCAAUA
This is an RNA transcript of Quercus robur (English oak), 3328 nucleotides long. It is a transcript of the gene named pseudouridine-5'-phosphate glycosidase-like, with no coding region annotated. Lineage: Eukaryota; Viridiplantae; Streptophyta; Magnoliopsida; Fagales; Fagaceae. The record is from RefSeq and is a predicted model, not a curated record. The transcript is spliced from 13 exons.